Molecule: ribosomal RNA, 520 nt
Filed under: uncultured bacterium
Lineage: Bacteria
Description: bacterial SSU rRNA
Rfam family: Bacterial small subunit ribosomal RNA
Source: RNAcentral
AGGACGAACGCUGGCGGCGUGCCUAAUACAUGCAAGCCGAACGGCUUUUCUAUGGAAGCUUGCUUCCACUGAGAAGAUAGUGGCGAACGGGUGAGUAACACGUGGGUAACCUGCCCAUAAGAGGGGGAUAACAUCCGGAAACGGGUGCUAACACCGCAUAGUUUUCUUGGUCGCAUGAUCGGGAAAGGAAAGACGGCCUUUGUGCUGUCGCUUAUGGAUGGACCCGCGGCGUAUUAGUUAGUUGGUGAGGUAACGGCUCACCAAGACGAUGAUACGUAGCCGACCUGAGAGGGUGAUCGGCCACAUUGGGACUGAGACACGGCCCAAACUCCUACGGGAGGCAGCAGUAGGGAAUCUUCCGCAAUGGACGAAAGUCUGACGGAGCAACGCCGCGUGAGUGAAGAAAAGGUUUUCGGAUCGUAAAACUCUGUUGUCAGAGAGGAACAAGUUGGAGAGUAACUGCUCCAGCCUUGACGGUAUCUGACCAGAAAGCCACGGCUAACUACGUGCCAGCAGCCGC